This is a non-coding RNA of Triticum urartu, 135 nucleotides long. The record is from Rfam. NCBI's taxonomy places the organism in Eukaryota, Viridiplantae, Streptophyta, Magnoliopsida, Poales, Poaceae.
CUUGUACUCCCUCCGUCCCAAAAUUCUUGUCUUAGAUUUGUCUAGAUAGGGAUGUAUCUAAUACUAAAACAUGACUUGAUACAUCUGUAUUUAGACAAAUCUAAGACACUAAUUUUGGGACGGAGGGAGUACUUG